Molecule: unclassified non-coding RNA, 378 nt
Filed under: plant metagenome
Description: partial contains 5.8S ribosomal RNA, internal transcribed spacer 2, and large subunit ribosomal RNA
Rfam family: 5.8S ribosomal RNA (bases 1-105)
Source: RNAcentral
GAAAUGCCAUAAGUAAUGUGAAUUGCAGAAUUCAGUGAAUCAUCGAAUCUUUGAACGCACCUUGCGCUCCUUGGUAUUCCUUGGAGCAUGCCUGUUUGAGUAUCAUGAAAUCUUCAAAGUAAAUCUUUUGUUAACUCAAUUGGUUUCUACUUUGGUAUUGGAGGUCUUUGCAGCUUCACACCUGCUCCUCUUUGUUCAUUAGCUGGAUCUCAGUGUUAUGCUUGGUUCCACUCGGCGUGAUAAGUUAUCUAUCGCUGAGGACACUGUAAAAGGUGGCCAAGGUAAAUGCAGAUGAACCGCUUCUAAUAGUCCAUUGACUUGGACAAUACUUUUAUGAUCUGAUCUCAAAUCAGGUAGGACUACCCGCUGAACUUAAGC